Molecule: long non-coding RNA, 503 nt
Organism: Rosa rugosa (rugosa rose)
Lineage: Eukaryota; Viridiplantae; Streptophyta; Magnoliopsida; Rosales; Rosaceae
Exons: 4
Source: RefSeq, a predicted model, not a curated record
GGUGAUUAGUUUGCUUUGCUGGAAGCUAUUGUUGCUCUGGCAUGAAAUCUUGGAAUCUUUUGGAGGAAUCCUCGAUGGCUACAGUUUCUCUGAGUCUAUCCCUCACACUAUAGGAUCUUGUUGAAGCAUCUAUAUCUUCAUCUAGGAGACAAUGCUCUCAGGCGGAAUUCAACUCAACUUUUCAGCUCAAAGAUGGUUCUAGUGCACUUGUUUGGUAAUUCAUAUGGUAUUGCUGGUAGAAGUGAGAACAGGAGCAAGGGUAGAAGCUUGGGAACUUUGGAAAGAUUAUGAAGUCUCUGCUCGGAAGAACAGUUAAGAGCACCAGAUGGUUUGGCAUUUUCAUAUGUGGAAUGAGGGGGCUAAGUUUGUCGUCAAUACAUAUAUCCAGGAGAUAUUUGAUAAAGUUUUUGUGUCUUAAUGUGUGGAUGAUUGGGAAAUACAUCCUUUGUAGUACAUUUGAUUGUUUAAUGUAUGAAUUAGAGUACUUCAAUUGAUGAAUUGGA